AACGAACGCUGGCGGCAUGCCUAACACAUGCAAGUCGAACGAAGGCUUCGGCCUUAGUGGCGCACGGGUGCGUAACGCGUGGGAAUCUGCCCCUCGGUUCGGAAUAACAGUUAGAAAUGACUGCUAAUACCGGAUGAUGACUUCGGUCCAAAGAUUUAUCGCCGAGGGAUGAGCCCGCGUAAGAUUAGGUAGUUGGUGGGGUAAAGGCCUACCAAGCCGACGAUCUUUAGCUGGUCUGAGAGGAUGAUCAGCCACACUGGGACUGAGACACAGCCCAGACUCCUACGGUAGGCAGCAGUGGGGAAUAUUGGACAAUGGGCGAAAGCCUGAUCCAGCAAUGCCGCGUGAGUGAUGAAGGCCUUAGGGUUGUAAAGCUCUUUUACCAGGGAUGAUAAUGACAGUACCUGGAGAAUAAGCUCUGGCUAACUCCGUGCCAGCCGCCGCCGUAA
RNAcentral lists this ribosomal RNA (449 nucleotides) under uncultured bacterium. Its description in RNAcentral is "partial 16S ribosomal RNA". It matches the Rfam family "Bacterial small subunit ribosomal RNA", at positions 29 to 523 of the family's 1533-position model. The record is from RNAcentral.